This 389-nucleotide ribosomal RNA is filed under the name uncultured bacterium. RNAcentral's name for it is "bacterial SSU rRNA". It matches the Rfam family "Bacterial small subunit ribosomal RNA", at positions 30 to 414 of the family's 1533-position model. The record is from RNAcentral.
AUUGAACGCUGGCGGCAUGCCUAACACAUGCAAGUCGAACGGCAGCACAGCAGUAGCAAUACUGUGGGUGGCGAGUGGCGGACGGGUGAGUAAUGCAUCGGGACCUGCCCAGACGUGGGGGAUAACGUAGGGAAACUUACGCUAAUACCGCAUACGUCCUACGGGAGAAAGCGGGGGAUCAGCAAUGACCUCGCGCGGUUGGAUGGACCGAUGUUCGAUAGCUUGUUGGUGGGGUAAUGGCCUACCAAGGCGACGAUCGAUAGCUGGUCUGAGAGGAUGAUCAGCCACACUGGGACUGAGACACGGCCCAGACUCCUACGGGAGCAGCAGUGGGAAUAUUGGACAAUGGGCGCAAGCCUGAUCCAGCAAUGCCGCGUGUGUGAAGAAGG